This 468-nucleotide ribosomal RNA is filed under the name uncultured bacterium. RNAcentral's name for it is "partial 16S ribosomal RNA". It matches the Rfam family "Bacterial small subunit ribosomal RNA", at positions 28 to 507 of the family's 1533-position model. The record is from RNAcentral.
GACGAACGCUGGCGGCGUGCUUAACACAUGCAAGUCGAACGGAAAGGCCCUGCUUUUGUUGGGUUCUCGAGUGGCGAACGGGUGAGUAACACGUGAGUAACCUGCCCUUGUCUUUGGGAUAACUUCAGGAAACUGGGGCUAAUACCGGAUAUGAGCUCCUGCUGCAUGGUGUGGGUUGGAAAGUUUCGGCGGUUCGGGAUGGACUCGCGGCUUAUCAGCUUGUUGGUGUGGUAGUUGCUUACCAAGGCUUUGACGGGUAGCCGGCCUGAGAGGGUGACCGGCGACAUUGGGACUGAGAUACGGACCAGACUCCUACGGGAGGCAGUAGUGGGGAACAUUGCACAGCGGGCGGAAGCCUGAUGCAGCAACGCUGCGUGCGGGAUGACGGCCUUCGGGUUGUAAACCGCUUUCGCCUGUGACGAAGCGUGAGUGACGGUAAUGGGUAAAGAAGCACCGGCUAACUACGUG